GACGAACGCUGGCGGCGUGCCUAAUACAUGCAAGUCGAGCGAAGUUUUUCUGGUGCUUGCACUAGAAAAACUUAGCGGCGAACGGGUGAGUAACACGUAAAGAACCUGCCUCAUAGACUGGGACAACUAUUGGAAACGAUAGCUAAUACCGGAUAACAGUAUUUCUCGCAUGAGAGAUAUUUAAAAGUUGGUUAUGCUAACACUAUGAGAUGGCUUUGCGGUGCAUUAGCUAGUUGGUGGGGUAAAGGCCCACCAAGGCGACGAUGCAUAGCCGACCUGAGAGGGUGAUCGGCCACACUGGGACUGAGACACGGCCCAGACUCCUACGGGAGGCAGCAGUAGGGAAUCUUCCGCAAUGGGCGAAAGCCUGACGGAGCAACGCCGCGUGAGUGAAGAAGGAUCUCGGUUCGUAAAGCUCUGUUGUUAGGGAAGAAUGGAUAUGUAGUAACUAUACAUGUAAGAGACGGUACCUAACCAGAAAGCCACGGCUAACUACGUG
This 499-nucleotide ribosomal RNA is filed under the name uncultured bacterium. RNAcentral describes it as "partial 16S ribosomal RNA". It matches the Rfam family "Bacterial small subunit ribosomal RNA", at positions 28 to 507 of the family's 1533-position model. The record is from RNAcentral.